RNAcentral lists this small nuclear RNA (279 nucleotides) under Colobus angolensis palliatus. Its description in RNAcentral is "7SK RNA (ENSCANG00000002152.1)". It matches the Rfam family "7SK RNA". Rfam says of the family: 7SK was discovered as an abundant small nuclear RNA in the mid-70s but a possible function has only recently been suggested. The record is from Rfam by way of RNAcentral. Lineage: Eukaryota; Metazoa; Chordata; Mammalia; Primates; Cercopithecidae.
GGAUGUGAGGGCAAUCUGGCUGCCACAUUUGUCAUCCCGUUGACUGCCAGGAUUGAUUCAGCUGAUCUGGCUGGCUACGCAAGUGUCCCUUUCCUCCCUCACCACUCCAUGUGAUGCGCGUCCCUCGUGAAGCUGUGCACUGGGUCAAAGAGGAUGACCAUCCCCGAGAGUAGGACCCACCUUCAUUAAAGGGUAUAUCAGUGUUGGCGCUCCUCUGAUAGAACUUCCAAACAAAGAGCCAACUUCUCCUGCUAAAUGCCAUGCUGGUUGCAUUCCAAU